GGUUACUGCUAUCGGUGUUCGCCUAAGCCAUGCGAGUCAUAUGUUCGUAAGAACAUGGCGUACUGCUCAGUAACACGUGGAUAACCUGCCCUUGGGUCCGGCAUAACCCCGGGAAACUGGGGAUAAUUCCGGAUAACGCACAUAUGCUGGAAUGCUUUAUGCGUAAAAUGGAUUCGUCUGCCCAAGGAUGGGUCUGCGGCCUAUCAGGUAGUAGUGGGUGUAAUGUACCUACUAGCCUACGACGGGUACGGGUUGUGAGAGCAAGAGCCCGGAGAUGGAUUCUGAGACAUGAAUCCAGGCCCUACGGGGCGCAGCAGGCGCGAAAACUUUACAAUGCGGGAAACCGUGAUAAGGGGACACCGAGUGCCAGCAUCCUAUGCUGGCUGUCCGGGUGUGUAAAAUACACCUGUUAGCAAGGGCCGGGCAAGACCGGUGCCAGCCGCCGCGGUAACACCGGCGGCCCGAGUGGUGAUCGUGAUUAUUGGGUCUAAGGGGUCCGUAGCCGGUUUGGUCAGUCCUCCGGGAAAUCUGACAGCUUAACUGUUAGGCUUUCGGAGGAUACUGCCAGACUUGGAACCGGGAGAGGUAAGAGGUACUACAGGGGUAGGAGUGAAAUCUUGUAAUCCCUGUGGGACCACCUGUGGCGAAGGCGUCUUACCAGAACGGGUUCGACGGUGAGGGACGAAAGCUGGGGGCACGAACCGGAUUAGAUACCCGGGUAGUCCCAGCCGUAAACGAUGCUCGCUAGGUGUCAGGCAUGGCGCGACCGUGUCUGGUGCCGCAGGGAAGCCGUGAAGCGAGCCACCUGGGAAGUACGGCCGCAAGGCUGAAACUUAA
This 837-nucleotide ribosomal RNA is filed under the name uncultured archaeon. RNAcentral describes it as "bacterial SSU rRNA". It matches the Rfam family "Archaeal small subunit ribosomal RNA", at positions 21 to 859 of the family's 1478-position model. The record is from RNAcentral.